Molecule: non-coding RNA, 3309 nt
Organism: Rattus norvegicus (Norway rat)
Lineage: Eukaryota; Metazoa; Chordata; Mammalia; Rodentia; Muridae
Source: RefSeq, a predicted model, not a curated record
GAGGCUGUGGGAGGAAAGAGGAAGUAAUGGAUGGCAUCUCAGGAAGAUCAAGAAGGAAGAGUGAUGAAUCUAGAUGAAGAACAGCUCUAAGAGGUUUGGAUACCCAUGGAUCCAUGCUGCUGGCAGAGUAGGGCCAGUGGCAUUGCAGCCUUUAAGAGUUCCUUUGUGCAUGCUGCAGUGCAGUCCUAACAUUACUAAAGACUGCUGUCUGCUGUACCAGGAAUCCGCAAGAGCUGUGCCCAGGUACCCCUGAAGAACAGGCUGUGUCAAAACUGUAAGGAAACGUGCUUUUGCUUUGUGUUCGGUUUCUGUUUUAAGGAAGCAGGGGUUGGAACUAAUGAUCCAGGAUCCAUAAAUUUUAUGUAAAUUUAAGGAUUUCUAAAAAAAAAAAAGAAAACCCAUUAUUAACAGUGUUCAAAGCCUCGACGAUGUACUUUUACUAGAUAAAAGACUGGGUUCAGGCUGUCUGCUGGGGAGAAGGAAAAAGAAAGAAGAGAAGGAAGGGAAAAGAGUAGGAAGAAGGAGGAAUGAUGAGGAUCCUUGGGAAAAGAGAGAGCGCUUUAACUGACAGCUUGCACCCAUUAAUGACUCUGAGUCAUUAUUGAAUCAGCAGAGCUAUGAUUUCCCCUUGGAUCUUGGCAAACACCCAUCCUGACUGUGGGCAGCGCCUUCCCAUGGGCUGUGGACUCAACUGAAUGGUAAAAGAGAAAUGGAGUUGAGCACCAGCGUCCAUCGCUCCCUGCUUCCUGACUGUGGAUGCAGUGUGACCAGCUGCCUCCUGUCCCUACACCGCAUCUUCCCUGACACAAUUGUAUCCUUAAACUGUGAGCCGAAAGGAACCCUUCCUUCCUUACGCUUGUGUCAGAUGUGUUGCCUCAGCCACAAGGAAAAUAACCAAUAUGGCUCCCAAGACCUGCUUUAUAUAUAAAAACUGAAAACUAAUUUUUUUCAUGUGUAUAUGCAUGUGUUCCAUAUACAUGUUUAUGGAUUAGCAUCUGUUCAUGUGGAAGCCAGAGGCUGACAUCAAUGUCUUUCUCAGCUGUGCUCCGUUUUCUUUCCUGGGGCAGGGUCUCUUGGCGGGACCUGAAGCUUGUCAAUCCUUCACUGUCUAGCUGGCCCGCUUGCCUGGGUAUCCUUGGUCCCUACCUCACGAAUGCUAAGAUUGUAGACAUCCUUCACACUUUCUCAUGUUUUACAUUGGAGCUGGAGAUCCAAACGCUGGUUCUCAUGCUUGCCAGGCAAGCACUUGGUCCAGUGAACCUACUACCUGGCUCCUGAAAAUUAAAUUAUUUAAAUGAAGCAACUCCCAUUGGAUUCAAAUAGAAACCAUUUGGCUUAAGGGCUUACCUGGCCCAUUUGGGUAGACUGUUUCUGUAGUUAACUCGGACCCUUGCUGCUCUGUAAGUUAAUUUCCCGCAGGUUUGGUCCCUGAGUUUUUUCGUAAAAUUGGCAUCUUGAGUCUUGUGCAUUGGGCAUGCUGACGGAGUGGCAGUUUGCAAAGUCUUUUAAUACACGGCCUUCACUAAGUGCCCAUUCGUUAUCCAGUGUGACCUAUUCAAUCUUACAGAGAAGGUAAGCAGGUACCAGAGAGGCCAGCGAACCUGUCACAGGGACAUUGAGGAUGUCACAAAGAAGACUGUGUAGUGCUCAGAGCACCAAAUGCUAAGGACCUCCAGCCAGUUGUCUGUCUUGGGAGCUCCCUUGUCUCGGGACCAAAAUACCCUUUGAUGCAGCACAAUGCAGCCACAGCUGCUCAAAAUAUUCCCUAUUCUGGCAACAAAUAACUCACGAUGUCAUUACCUGUCUGAUGCCUUUUGAAGCGUCACCGCUCCCGAGAGUGCUCUGUCACCGGGAUGACAGCCCCUCAUGUUGUACAGUUCCCAGAAGGUGACAUUUGGCUUUUGUGCUUUAAAAGGCCCAAGACAGAUCAUAGAAAGUGCCGGUACAUUCCAGAAAGCAGAAGGCUCACUUUAGAGCAUCCAGUGGAUGAAGAGGGGGAAACAUCUGAUAAUAUCUAUUUAUUCUGUCCAUCAAAAUUUGUCUCAGUUGUGGUUCAGUUAAGAAAAAGUUCUAUAAGGACUGGAGAAACUGGUCAGUCAGUAAAAUGCUUGCCGUUAAGCAGGAAGACGUAGGUUCAACACCGAGACCCACAUUUAAAACAAAGCAAAGAGCUGGGCAUAGUGGUAUGCGCUUAUAAUCCCAGUGCUGGGGAGGGUGGUUCCAGGUCAGACUGAGUGACCCCAACAUUAAAAACAAGGCAGAGUCCAGUCAUGCACAGCUAUGCCUGGCCCCAGCUUGACUGAAUCUUGUCUUUCUUUCCAAUAGAGAAACCACUCAGCCUUUUCUAUCAAGACCUCGAUCACGAGGACUUUUACGUUCUGAAGGCUGUGCAAUCUGUUGCAGUUACGUACUUGAUUUGGCCUUUCAGCCCUAAACAGAUGCAGAGCUGAAGAGAGAAGUUUGCCUUGCUCCAGUACAACCAAGACUGGCAUCGGGCCAGACUGGGCACAUGAGGUGUUGGAUUAGUUCCUUUUUGAGGGAUCGGGACCAAAGUAAAUGGUGGGCUAUGUGUGACGUUCAGUUGGUGGUGUGUUUGCCUAGCAUGCCUGGAUCUCUGGGUUUCAUCUCUAGUACCAUAUAAAACCAGGUAUAGACUCAUGCAUCCCUGUAAUCCCAGUAAUGGGGAAGCAGAAACGGGUAGAUGGAUUCCUAGGGUUUGCUGGCCAGCCAGUUCACCCUGCUCGGUGAGUUUCAGGCAAUGAGAGAACCUGUCUAAAAUAAACAAGUUGAACUGCCCUUGAGGAUGACCCCUGAGGUUGUACACACACACACCCCACCUGAUUGAGAGGGUCUCAAUAUUACAAGCUGUACCUCUUGCUUUUACAUAUAAGACGGGAGAUCUAAGUUUAAUGGUCAUCUACAUCUCCCUAGCUGUGUGAACUUGGAAGUGACACCUAGUCUCUUUGAGCGUCGGGAGCUUCCACUUUGAGUAGCAACAUGAAUUCUGCCCGCCAAAGAUUUCCGUAAAGAUUAAACAGGAGCGGUAUCAAAGCUCCGUGGUAAGCCCCACUUUUUAAUGUAUAAAUACAUAGCAAAGUGCUUUUCUUUUAAUAUGAACCGAAUUCUCAAAGAGAUUAAACCUGAAGGGGAUUUAAUCCUUCCAGCAGUGGGCACUGUUCUUGAAGUUGUAAUCCACCAUGGAAUCAGGGGGAUCAUUUAGACAUUGCCAGAGUCUCAAAGGUCUGAGAAUAGAUUUUCAGAUGUCUCCAAGGCCAGAAUUUUAAUAAAAUGUACAUUGAGUGUAAAUUA